Molecule: ribosomal RNA, 639 nt
Filed under: uncultured bacterium
Lineage: Bacteria
Description: bacterial SSU rRNA
Rfam family: Bacterial small subunit ribosomal RNA
Source: RNAcentral
CGCGGCCUAUCAGCUUGUUGGUGGGGUGAUGGCCUACCAAGGCGACGACGGGUAGCCGGCCUGAGAGGGCGACCGGCCACACUGGGACUGAGACACGGCCCAGACUCCUACGGGAGGCAGCAGUGGGGAAUAUUGCGCAAUGGGCGAAAGCCUGACGCAGCGACGCCGCGUGAGGGAUGAAGGCCUUCGGGUUGUAAACCUCUUUCAGCGCCGAAGAAGCGAAAGUGACGGUAGGCGCAGAAGAAGCACCGGCUAACUACGUGCCAGCAGCCGCGGUAAUACGUAGGGUGCAAGCGUUGUCCGGAAUUAUUGGGCGUAAAGAGCUCGUAGGCGGUUUGUCGCGUCUGCUGUGAAAACUCGGGGCUUAACUCCGGGCCUGCAGUGGGUACGGGCAGACUAGAGUGCGGUAGGGGAGACUGGAAUUCCUGGUGUAGCGGUGAAAUGCGCAGAUAUCAGGAGGAACACCGGUGGCGAAGGCGGGUCUCUGGGCCGUAACUGACGCUGAGGAGCGAAAGCGUGGGGAGCGAACAGGAUUAGAUACCCUGGUAGUCCACGCCGUAAACGUUGGGCGCUAGGUGUGGGGCUCUUUCCACGAGUUCCGUGCCGCAGCAAACGCAUUAAGCGCCCCGCCUGGGGAGU